Molecule: ribosomal RNA, 254 nt
Filed under: uncultured archaeon
Lineage: Archaea
Description: partial 16S ribosomal RNA
Rfam family: Archaeal small subunit ribosomal RNA
Source: RNAcentral
CACCAGCGCCACGAGUAGGAACCACGUUUAUUGGGCCUAAAGCAUCCGUAGCCGGAUUGGUAAGUCUUUUGUGAAAUUGUUAGGCUUAACCUAACAGCGUGCAAAAGAUACUGCCUUUCUAGAGACUGGGAGGAGUUAGAGGUAUUCUGGGGGGAGCGGUAAAAUGCUAUAAUCCUCAGAGGACCACCUGUGGCGAAGGCGUCUAACUAGAACAGUUCUGACGGUGAGGGACGAAAGCUGGGGGAGCGAUCCGG